CGUAGGGUGCGAGCGUUGCCCGGAUUUAUUGGGCGUAAAAGGGCGCGUAGGCGGCUCGGCACGUCCGUUGUGAAAUCGCCCGGCUCAACUGGGCGGGGUCAGCGGAUACGGUCGAGCUUGAGCAAGCUAGGGGGUAAUGGAAUUCCCGGUGUAGUGGUGGAAUGCGUAGAUAUCGGGAGGAACACCAGUGGCGAAGGCGGUUACCUGGGGCUUUGCUGACGCUGAUGCGCGAAAGCGUGGGGAGCGAUCCGGAUUAGAUACCCGGGUAGUCCACGCCGUAAACGAUGCGGACUAGGUGUCGGGGGUAUCGACCCCCUCGGCGCCGCAGCUAACGCAUUAAGUCCGCCGCCUGGGGACUACGGCCGCAAGGCUA
Molecule: ribosomal RNA, 373 nt
Filed under: uncultured organism
Description: bacterial SSU rRNA
Rfam family: Bacterial small subunit ribosomal RNA
Source: RNAcentral